RNAcentral lists this ribosomal RNA (255 nucleotides) under uncultured bacterium. RNAcentral's name for it is "partial 16S ribosomal RNA". It matches the Rfam family "Bacterial small subunit ribosomal RNA", at positions 524 to 776 of the family's 1533-position model. The record is from RNAcentral.
UACGUAGGGGGCAAGCGUUGUCCGGAAUCAUUGGGCGUAAAGAGCGUGUAGGCGGUCCGGUAAGUCGGCUGUGAAAGUCCAGGGCUCAACCCUGGGGAUGCCGGUCGAUACUGCCGGACUAGAGUUCGGAAGAGGCGAGUGGAAUUCCCGGUGUAGCGGUGAAAUGCGCAGAUAUCGGGAGGAACACCUAUGGCGAAGGCAGCUCGCUGGGACGUUACUGACGCUGAGAACGCGAAAGCGUGGGGAGCAAACAGG